AUAUCAAUAAGCGGAGGAAAAGAAACUAACAAGGAUUCCCCUAGUAACGGCGAGUGAACCGGGAAGAGCUCAAAUUUGAAAUCUGGCAGUCUUCGAUUGUCCGAGUUGUAAUCUAUAGAAGCGUUUUCCGUGCUGAACUGUGUAUAAGUCCCUUGGAACAGGGUAUCAAAGAGGGUGACAAUCCCGUACUUUACACAAUCAUCAGUGCUCUGUGAUACGUUCUCUACGAGUCGAGUUGUUUGGGAAUGCAGCUCAAAAUGGGUGGUAAAUUCCAUCUAAAGCUAAAUAUUGGCGAGAGACCGAUAGCGAACAAGUACCGUGAGGGAAAGAUGAAAAGCACUUUGGAAAGAGAGUUAAACAGUAC
RNAcentral lists this ribosomal RNA (364 nucleotides) under uncultured fungus. RNAcentral's name for it is "eukaryotic LSU rRNA". It matches the Rfam family "Eukaryotic large subunit ribosomal RNA", at positions 40 to 398 of the family's 3401-position model. Lineage: Eukaryota; Fungi. The record is from RNAcentral.